RNAcentral lists this long non-coding RNA (241 nucleotides) under Carica papaya (papaya). RNAcentral describes it as "long non-coding RNA (CPAP_LNC006000)". The record is from RNAcentral. Lineage: Eukaryota; Viridiplantae; Streptophyta; Magnoliopsida; Brassicales; Caricaceae.
AAGCCUCAGUUUUCUGUAAUUUUUUUGCCCACCGAAGGCCCUAGGGGUGUUUUAUCACAGGAACCAAUGCAAGUUUGGCCGAAUUCGGCCGAAAACGGCCAACCCGAGGCAGACCGCCGUCGCAGGCGGCGGCGAAGUCGCUGGAGUACGGCGGAGCCGCCGUGCCAGAAUUCUGAAAUUGGCCAAAAGGGCCCUGGGUCUGAUUUGGGGUUUUUUGGGGACAUAUGCAGGCACCGAAAGU